AGCUUUGUGCAGUAGCAGAACCAUGGCCAAUGAGGUUUUAUCCUAGGCUCAAUUACUGCUAAUUGAAAAGUUUUCCCUGUGGUGACAACUUGCAAUUUAGUCACAUUGGCAAUUGUUGACAGUCUCCACGGAGA
Small nuclear RNA from Nycticebus coucang (slow loris), 134 nucleotides. RefSeq annotates it as U4 spliceosomal RNA. The transcript has a single exon. NCBI's taxonomy places the organism in Eukaryota, Metazoa, Chordata, Mammalia, Primates, Lorisidae. The record is from RefSeq and is a predicted model, not a curated record.